Molecule: ribosomal RNA, 450 nt
Filed under: uncultured bacterium
Lineage: Bacteria
Description: partial 16S ribosomal RNA
Rfam family: Bacterial small subunit ribosomal RNA
Source: RNAcentral
GUGGGGAAUUUUGGACAAUGGGCGCAAGCCUGAUCCAGCAAUGCCGCGUGCAGGAAGAAGGCCUUCGGGUUGUAAACUGCUUUUGUACGGAACGAAACGGUCCUGGUUAAUACCUGGGGCUAAUGACGGUACCGUAAGAAUAAGCACCGGCUAACUACGUGCCAGCAGCCGCGGUAAUACGUAGGGUGCGAGCGUUAAUCGGAAUUACUGGGCGUAAAGCGUGCGCAGGCGGUGCUGUAAGACAGGCGUGAAAUCCCCGGGCUCAACCUGGGAAUUGCGCUUGUGACUGCAGUGCUGGAGUACGGCAGAGGGGGAUGGAAUUCCGCGUGUAGCAGUGAAAUGCGUAGAUAUGCGGAGGAACACCGAUGGCGAAGGCAAUCCCCUGGGCCUGCACUGACGCUCAUGCACGAAAGCGUGGGGAGCAAACAGGAUUAGAAACCCUUGUAGUCC